This 1080-nucleotide ribosomal RNA is filed under the name Appalachioria separanda hamata. RNAcentral describes it as "partial 16S ribosomal RNA". The record is from RNAcentral. Lineage: Eukaryota; Metazoa; Arthropoda; Diplopoda; Polydesmida; Xystodesmidae.
UAUAUUUUGGGUUUUUAUUGUGUUUAUUAGAAAAUUUGUUUUUAGUAGUUUGAGCGAAGUUUGUUGGUUUCCUAGAGAGGAUUUAGUACUGAGAAGGAAAGUUAUAUUAUUUAUUUUGAAUAUUAGGUUUGUUAGUACCUUUUGUAUUAGGGUUGAUUUAUGUGGUUUUGCUUUUGUUAUUUCUCGAUGAGUAUCGGGCUAUUUUUCCUUGGUUUAUUCUCGUUGUAUAGAGUUGGAUAGGGGAUUAUAGGUAUGAAAUAUUAUUCAAGUUGCUUUUUAUCUAGUUCUUUAAGAAAUUUAAUAGUCGGUAGUGUUAUUAUGACGGUAAACAGGGAUUAGCUUGUUUAUUUUUUAUAUUGUAUUGUGGUUGAAGUUUGUUUGUUAAGUUGAUAGUGCUUUUUUUAAUGGAGUUAUUAUUGAGCAGGUUAUUUUUAUUAUUUUUUGGUUUUGUUUUUGUAUUAGGGUUGGGUUGAAAAUUUUUAGUGGUUUGUAAUAAUGAUUAUAUUAGUAAUGAUUUUAUUAGUUUAUUUUAUUUUGUUCUGAUUGAUAUCUUAGGUAGGCUUAAUUUUAAAUUAGAAUUGAUGAAUUAGGCAAUAUGAACCUCUGACUGUUUAGCAAAGACAUUGUUUUUUGUUGUGGUAAAAAAUAAGUUCUGUCCACUGCUAUUAGGUGAAGGGCUGCAGUAUUUUGACUGUAUGAAGGUAGCAUAAUCAUUAGCUUCUUAAUUAGAAGCUGGUAUGAAGGUGAAACAGGGGUUUGCUGUAUUUUUUCUAUAUGUUGAAUUUUAUUUUCAUGUGAAAAAUCAUGAUUGGUUUAAUGGGACAAGAAGACCCUAAUAAGUUUUAUUCUUUUUCUUAAUGCGUGUAUAGGUUUGGAUUUAUGUAAUUUAUUUGGGGGAGUUUGGCUGGGGCGGCAGUUUAUUUGACAUAGAUUAAUUUUUAACUUUGUGUGGCGGUAUUUGGACCUAGUUUGUUUAUAUCAGUGUAAAAUUACUGUAGGGAUAACAGCGUGAUUUUUUUUGAGAGUUCUAAUUGACAAUAAAGUUUGCGACCUCGAUGUUGGAUUAAGAAGAGCGUUGGC